RNAcentral lists this ribosomal RNA (418 nucleotides) under uncultured bacterium. RNAcentral's name for it is "bacterial SSU rRNA". It matches the Rfam family "Bacterial small subunit ribosomal RNA", at positions 355 to 787 of the family's 1533-position model. The record is from RNAcentral.
UGGGGAAUAUUGGGCAAUGGGCGCAAGCCUGACCCAGCAAUGCCGCGUGAAGGAAGAAGGCCCUCGGGUUGUAAACUUCUUUUAUCAGGGACGAAGGAUGUGACGGUACCUGAUGAAUAAGCUCCGGCUAACUACGUGCCAGCAGCCGCGGUAAUACGUAGGGAGCAAGCGUUAUCCGGAUUUACUGGGUGUAAAGGGCGCGUAGGCGGGAUGGCAAGUCAGAUGUGAAAUCUAUGGGCUUAACCCAUAAACUGCAUUUGAAACUGUCGUUCUUGAGUACUGGAGAGGUUGACGGAAUUCCUAGUGUAGCGGUGAAAUGCGUAGAUAUUAGGAGGAACACCAGUGGCGAAGGCGGUCAACUGGACAGCAACUGACGCUGAGGCGCGAAAGCGUGGGGAGCAAACAGGAUUAGAUACCC